GACGAACGCUGGCGGCGUGCCUAAUACAUGCAAGUCGAGCGAAGUUUUUCUGGUGCUUGCACCGGAAAAACUUAGCGGCGAACGGGUGAGUAACACGUAAAGAACCUGCCUCAUAGACUGGGACAACUAUUGGAAACGAUAGCUAAUACCGGAUAACAGCAUUAACUGCAUGGUUGAUGUUUAAAAGUUGGUUUUGCUAACACUAUGAGAUGGCUUUGCGGUGCAUUAGCUAGUUGGUGGGGUAAAGGCCUACCAAGGCGACGAUGCAUAGCCGACCUGAGAGGGUGAUCGGCCACACUGGGACUGAGACACGGCCCAGACUCCGACGGGAGGCAGCAGUAGGGAAUCUUCCGCAAUGGGCGAAAGCCUGACGGAGCAACGCCGCGUGAGUGAAGAAGGAUUUCGGUUCGUAAAGCUCUGUUGUUAGGGAAGAAUGAUUGUGUAGUAACUAUACACAGUAGAGACGGUACCUAACCAGAAAGCCACGGCUAACUACGUG
Molecule: ribosomal RNA, 499 nt
Filed under: uncultured bacterium
Lineage: Bacteria
Description: partial 16S ribosomal RNA
Rfam family: Bacterial small subunit ribosomal RNA
Source: RNAcentral